GUAUGCUAGGGGAGUCACUGUCUUUCCAACAUCAGGAGAGUGGCUGGCAGAGCGGAAAGCUGAAAGGACACGCAGCCUUUAUGGCACAGUUGAACCUCUGAGUUAGCCAACCCUGAAAUCACUGUACCUUUGGACUUGGCCGUGUGAGUCACUUUCCUUCUUGCCUAAGCUAUUUUUAACUGCUUUCUUUUGUCUGCAUCCAAGAUAACAAGGGGUGGGGUCAUUGAGUACAAAUAGAGAGAGGCGCUCUGAAAGGACAGACAGUAUCAUCAGCAAGAAUGGCUUCCUAUAAUAGGGGUUACUCAGAUAGGACUUUGAUGAGGACAAGAAGCUGGACGUCGAGAAGGAAGGGAGGACACAUCAGGAAGUGAGAAGAGGAGCACGUUUGCUAGCUCCAUAGGUAGGGAUAAGGAAGAAGAGGAAUCUCCUGCAUUUGUAGUGAGACAUGAGCCUUGGAGGUGGACUUGGGCUCAGUCACCCAUGGUGGGGUCAACACUGCUGCUGACCAGAAGGCAGCUGGAUUGUCAAACUGGUAAGUAAAAGUGAGUAGCCAGAAAGGGGGAAGAGGUUGGCAUUCUCUAGGUCAAACCAGUUCCCUUGUUUAAGCGAGACAUAUCAAGCAAGACCCUAGAAGGCUAAAGGUAAACCUGGCAACAAAGUCAGGAACCCAAAAUAAAAACUGAUACAAAGAGAAAUUACAAGGGAAAUAUUAAUGUUGGCUCUAUACCCAGGAGUGUGGUUGUUGACCACCGGGAAGCAUUUGACUUGAUUCAUAGGCUCCUAAACCAAUUAAUCAGGUAU
Molecule: long non-coding RNA, 801 nt
Filed under: Rattus norvegicus (Norway rat)
Lineage: Eukaryota; Metazoa; Chordata; Mammalia; Rodentia; Muridae
Description: long non-coding RNA NONRATT032806
Source: RNAcentral